This 71-nucleotide transfer RNA is filed under the name Candidatus Woesebacteria bacterium. Its description in RNAcentral is "tRNA-Gly". It matches the Rfam family "tRNA". Rfam says of the family: Transfer RNA (tRNA) molecules are approximately 80 nucleotides in length. Their secondary structure includes four short double-helical elements and three loops (D, anti-codon, and T loops). RNAcentral also lists the same sequence under 1 other name. Lineage: Bacteria; Candidatus Woeseibacteriota. The record is from RNAcentral.
GCGGGUGUAGUACAUCGGUAGUAUAUCUCCCUUCCAAGGAGAAGAGGCCAGUUCGAUUCUGGUCACCCGCU